RNAcentral lists this ribosomal RNA (496 nucleotides) under uncultured bacterium. Its description in RNAcentral is "partial 16S ribosomal RNA". It matches the Rfam family "Bacterial small subunit ribosomal RNA", at positions 28 to 507 of the family's 1533-position model. The record is from RNAcentral.
GACGAACGCUGGCGGCGUGCCUAAUACAUGCAAGUUGAGCGAUGAAGCUUGGUGCUUGCACCAAUUUGAAGAGCAGCGAACGGGUGAGUAACGCGUGGGGAAUCUGCCUUUGAGCGGGGGACAACAUUUGGAAACGAAUGCUAAUACCGCAUAACAACUUUAAACAUAAGUUUUAAGUUUGAAAGAUGCAAUUGCAUCACUCAAAGAUGAUCCCGCGUUGUAUUAGCUAGUUGGUGAGGUAAAGGCUCACCAAGGCGAUGAUACAUAGCCGACCUGAGAGGUGGACGGCCCACUUGGGACCGGGACCCGGCCCCAACCUCUUCGGGGAGCCGCCAUUGGGGAUCUUUCGGCAAUGGCCGAAAUCCUACCGAGCAACGCCGCGGUAGUUAAGAAGGUUUUCGGAUCGUUAAACUCUGUUGAUAAGGAAGAACGUUGUUGGGAGUGGAAAGCUCAUCAAGUGACGGUAACUACCCAGAAAGCGACGGCUAACUACGUG